AGUGAGCGCUGGCGGUGGGCCUAACACAUGCAAGUCGAACGGCAGCACAGUAAGAGCUUGCUCUUACGGGUGGCGAGUGGCGGACGGGUGAGGAAUACAUCGGAAUCUACUUUUUCGUGGGGGAUAACGUGGGGAAACUUACGCUAAUACCGCAUACGACCUACGGGUGAAAGCAGGGGAUCUUCGGACCUUGCGCGAUUGAAUGAGCCGAUGUCGGAUUAGCUAGUUGGCGGGGUAAAGGCCCACCAAGGCGACGAUCCGUAGCUGGUCUGAGAGGAUGAUCAGCCACACUGGAACUGAGACACGGUCCAGACUCCUACGGGAGGCAGCAGUGGGGAAUAUUGGACAAUGGGCGCAAGCCUGAUCCAGCCAUACCGCGUGGGUGAAGAAGGCCUUCGGGUUGUAAAGCCCUUUUGUUGGGAAAGAAAAGCAGCAGGUUAAUACCCCGCUGUUCUGACGGUACCCAAAGAAUAAGCACCGGCUAACUUCGUG
RNAcentral lists this ribosomal RNA (492 nucleotides) under uncultured bacterium. Its description in RNAcentral is "partial 16S ribosomal RNA". It matches the Rfam family "Bacterial small subunit ribosomal RNA", at positions 29 to 507 of the family's 1533-position model. The record is from RNAcentral.